GCCGGUGUGAUGGAAUGGUAGACGUGACGGACUCAAAAUCCGUUGGUGGCAACACUGUGUGGGUUCGAGUCCCACCACCGGCA
RNAcentral lists this transfer RNA (83 nucleotides) under Eubacteriales bacterium. RNAcentral describes it as "tRNA-Leu". It matches the Rfam family "tRNA". Rfam says of the family: Transfer RNA (tRNA) molecules are approximately 80 nucleotides in length. Lineage: Bacteria; Bacillati; Bacillota; Clostridia; Eubacteriales. The record is from RNAcentral.